This 738-nucleotide ribosomal RNA is filed under the name human gut metagenome. Its description in RNAcentral is "bacterial SSU rRNA". It matches the Rfam family "Bacterial small subunit ribosomal RNA", at positions 785 to 1520 of the family's 1533-position model. The record is from RNAcentral.
CCCUGGUAGUCCACGCCGUAAACGGUGGAUGCUGGAUGUGGGGACCAUUCCACGGUCUCCGUGUCGGAGCCAACGCGUUAAGCAUCCCGCCUGGGGAGUACGGCCGCAAGGCUAAAACUCAAAGAAAUUGACGGGGGCCCGCACAAGCGGCGGAGCAUGCGGAUUAAUUCGAUGCAACGCGAAGAACCUUACCUGGGCUUGACAUGUUCCCGACGGUCGUAGAGAUACGGCUUCCCUUCGGGGCGGGUUCACAGGUGGUGCAUGGUCGUCGUCAGCUCGUGUCGUGAGAUGUUGGGUUAAGUCCCGCAACGAGCGCAACCCUCGCCCUGUGUUGCCAGCACGUCAUGGUGGGAACUCACGGGGGACCGCCGGGGUCAACUCGGAGGAAGGUGGGGAUGACGUCAGAUCAUCAUGCCCCUUACGUCCAGGGCUUCACGCAUGCUACAAUGGCCGGUACAACGGGAUGCGACGCGGCGACGCGGAGCGGAUCCCUGAAAACCGGUCUCAGUUCGGAUCGCAGUCUGCAACUCGACUGCGUGAAGGCGGAGUCGCUAGUAAUCGCGAAUCAGCAACGUCGCGGUGAAUGCGUUCCCGGGCCUUGUACACACCGCCCGUCAAGUCAUGAAAGUGGGUAGCACCCGAAGCCGGUGGCCCAACCUUUUGGGGGGAGCCGUCUAAGGUGAGACUCGUGAUUGGGACUAAGUCGUAACAAGGUAGCCGUACCGGAAGGUGCGGCUG